RNAcentral lists this ribosomal RNA (433 nucleotides) under uncultured bacterium. Its description in RNAcentral is "partial 16S ribosomal RNA". It matches the Rfam family "Bacterial small subunit ribosomal RNA", at positions 29 to 507 of the family's 1533-position model. The record is from RNAcentral.
AACGAACGCUGGCGGCAUGCCUAACACAUGCAAGUCGAACGAGACCUUCGGGACUAGUGGCGCACGGGUGCGUAACGCGUGGGAACCUGCCCUUAGGUUCGGAAUAACUCCCCGACAGGGGUGCUAAUACCGGAUAAUGUCUUCGGACCAAAGAUUUAUCGCCUUUGGAUGGGCCCGCGUUGGAUUAGCGUGUUGGUAGUGUAAAAGCCUACCAAGGCGACGAUCCAUAGCUGGUCUGAGAGGAUGAGCAGCCACACUGGGACUGGGACACGGCCCAGACUCCUACGGGAGGCAGGAGUGGGGAAUAUUGGACAAUGGGCGAAAGCCUGAUCCAGCAAUGCCGCGUGAGUGAUGAAGGCCUUAGGGUUGUAAAGCUCUUUUACCCGGGAUGAUAAUGACAGUACCGGGAGAAUAAGCUCCGGCUAACUCCGUG